Long non-coding RNA from Eucalyptus grandis, 2541 nucleotides. RefSeq lists it as uncharacterized. The record is from RefSeq and is a predicted model, not a curated record. Lineage: Eukaryota; Viridiplantae; Streptophyta; Magnoliopsida; Myrtales; Myrtaceae. The transcript has 5 exons.
GAGUCGCAGACGGUCAAGCACAUAUACUAACACUCUUUAUUCACAACUGUGGCUGAAAUUUUAUCCCAUAUGCUCACCAAUUCUGUGUAGUCGGGUUGGCUUUAGGGAAUUAAGCUUAAAAAGGAGUGCCCAAAAGGAGUGCCCUGAGCCCACAUUCUCUUUACAUAUGACUCCCUAUUCUUUCUUGUUACUAACCCUGAUUGAACUGCAGAUGUUCGAAAAAGAUUCUUGACUGUAUUGCAUUGCUCGGUUUAUCGGAUUAUCUUGCAAAAAUCCAGUAUAUGAUUCAGUCCUAACACAGGUGCAGAGUUCAGAACAGAGUGAACAAGAAGCACCACCCUCCAAUUUUGAGCAAUGAAGAAUGGUGUUUUGAUAAAAUAGCCAAAGACGGUGCUCUACGCAAGCGCAUGACAUUGAGAGGAAUCAACACUGUUGUAGAAAAAAGAAUAAGGGAAACACAAGCAGUUUGCAACUGCAUUUUGUUACCAAAUUACCGGCAACCAUCUUCACUAGCAGUCAGAUAAGCACCGAGGAUGGCACUCCUCUGAGGAUCGAACUAGUAGAUGGCAGGACCAAUGAGAGGGUUAUGAGUGGCCCUCUAUCUUCCAUAAAGCUCAAAAUUGUCAUCCUUGAUGGCGAUUUCGGGUCAGACGAGGGAGAGGAUUGGACCGAGAAGGAAUUCAAUUACAACAUCAUUUGCGAAAGGGAAGGGAGAAGGCCAUUGAUAAUCGGGGAGCCGACUGUGAUCUUGCAAGGGGGAAUUGUUUGCCUCCAUAAUUUAAUCAUCACUGACAGCUCGAGCUGGAUGAGAAGUCGGGAAAUGAGCUCAAGCUGUGCAAAAGGUUUCUGCAGAAAUAAGAAUAAGUGCAGUGAGAAGUGAAACUUUCAUUGUUAAAUAUCAUCGAGGAGAGUUGAACAAGAAGCACUAUCCACAAUAACUGAGCAACAAAGUAUGGCGUUUGCAAAAAAUAGCCAAAGACAGUGCUCUGCACAAGUGCAUGACUUCGAGAGGAAUCAACACUGUUCAAGAUUUCCUCCAGUUGUACAAAGCGGAUGCGCCUUUCUAAGAAACAAAGUGACUCUUACUCUUCGAGCACUGCUAAUUUCCCUUUUCUCCAGUUCACGUUAUUCUGAGCAUUGUUCAAUAUCAAAUCAUGCUACUUCUUUUGUGUGCGAUGUUAUUUUAGGUACUUGGAAAUGGGAUCACCAAGCGGACAUGGGAGACGAUCAUCAGACAUGCCAGCCCGUGUGAUCAACGAUGACAAGAUGUAUUUCUACCAAGCUUUGAACAAGGCCAGUAUAGUGUUCAAUUCAGUCGUGAAAGGUUCUCAAGCAGCACUCGAUGGCCAAAUUUACCAAUCGGUAGACAUAUUGGCCCACUCUCAGAAGAUUUUGUUGCAGAACUUGAAAUGGCUAGAUUACAAUAACAAGAAUCAAUGGCGGUGCUCAAUGCCCUGCCCAGCCUCUCUCUUCUGAGAGCCCCAACAAAUUUGCCUACAGAGCCGUCAAUCGGCCUGAGCCUGCCUCUUCAUCAUCUGUUUUACACAGAGCUAAACCAACAUAGACCAGAAGUGACUCCUGAAUUUAGUAACUCACUGGUUUCAGCAUCGUGCUGCUACAAUGUCACGGAGAUCAGACAAUUAGUUGUCUGGGGCCACAGUCAUAUCACUGCAAAAAUCUUUGAUCCGACUGUAAUUCAACAGCUUGGCAAGGGAGGACUUUUUGUCCAGUUUGAGUGCUGGUGAAAGCAGUCAUCUUCCUGGUUACACACAAGAUCCAUUUGCGCCGAACAUCCAUUUGUCUCCUGAAGAGCUUUUCCAAGUGCCAGCUCCAAUCCCUGGCAAUUUAAUGUGGACACCGGAGCAUACUUUCAUCAUUGAGUCGAGUAGCGGGGCAGAUUUUGGGAUCUGCCCAUCUCGCACGGGUUAUGGAGUCCAUAAUUCCAGGAUUGCAAGGGUCAAGGUGGCAUGGUGCAAGAUCCGUGAUGUGGUGAAGUGGGGAUUGGUUCAGCGCGUUGUGGCUGCAAAGAGAACAGCAAUGUUCAAUUGUGCAAGUUAUCCAGCUGUAUAAAUGGAGAGUCUGAUCCCCCAAAAGAAUAUUGGGUGCUUCAGGAGCGCGAAGCUCUCGCCCACACAGGCCAGUCAUCACACGCGAAGUACGAAACAAAAGGAAAUUCAUGAUACUUGAUGCGAGGAGAUUGUCUUGGGGGUAUGAGAAUGUCUAGUUCUAGGGGUAAGCUGCCCGGGAUGCAUCAUUGACUUAGUAUUAUGCAUGAUCACUGCGAUUUUCUCUAUUGUUUUUUGUUGAUUGUCCUUUCAUAUUUGAAUGAAGUUGUGCACCAUCAAGAUGGGGCUGCCAAUUGGACGUGUCUUCUCUCUAUGGGUCACGCAAGCUGAUCUUAGGAAGUACCUCCAUACAGGGGUUCUUCCUCAAGAAUUGUAAGGCUUUGGCUCUCUUCUUCAAGAAUUGUUUGGCAUUCUGUUUGUCCCAAAUACAUCAUCCCUUGAUUUGUCAGUUUACUGCUCUGAUUUGCUUAGUAGA